GUGAACGCUGGCGGUAGGCCUAACACAUGCAAGUCGCACGGCAGCACAGUAAGAGCUUGCUCUUACGGGUGGCGAGUGGCGGACGGGUGAGGAAUACAUCGGAAUCUACUUUUUCGUGGGGGAUAACGUAGGGAAACUUACGCUAAUACCGCAUACGACCUACGGGUGGAAGCAGGGGAUCUUCGGACCUUGCGCGAUUGAAUGAGCCGAUGUCGGAUUAGCUAGUUGGCGGGGUAAAGGCCCACCAAGGCGACGAUCCGUAGCUGGUCUGAGAGGAUGAUCAGCCACACUGGAACUGAGACACGGUCCAGACUCCUACGGGAGGCAGCAGUGGGGAAUAUUGGACAAUGGGCGCAAGCCUGAUCCAGCCAUACCGCGUGGGUGAAGAAGGCCUUCGGGUUGUAAAGCCCUUUUGUUGGGAAAGAAAAGCAGCAGGUUAAUACCCCGCUGUUCUGACGGUACCCAAAGAAUAAGCACCGGCUAACUUCGUG
This 491-nucleotide ribosomal RNA is filed under the name uncultured bacterium. RNAcentral's name for it is "partial 16S ribosomal RNA". It matches the Rfam family "Bacterial small subunit ribosomal RNA", at positions 29 to 507 of the family's 1533-position model. The record is from RNAcentral.